AGUAGGGCCUGCCCACUGAGUAUUUGAAGGGCCGCAGUAUCUUAACUGUGCAAAGGUAGCAUAAUCAUUAGUUUUUUAAUUGAAAGCUGGUAUGAAUGGUUUGAUGAAAAAAUUUCUGUUUCAAUAUUAAUUAUUUAAAAUUUUAUUUUUAAGUGAAAAAGCUUAAAUAUUUAUAAUAGACGAGAAGACCCUAUAGAGUUUUCUUAAUAAAUAAUUUAUUAAAUUUAGUAUUUAUUUUUAUGAAAUUAUUUAUUAAUUUAAUUGGGGUGAUUAAAAAAUUAGUUAAACUUUUUUUAUAUUUAUACAUUUAUUUAUGAAUACUUGAUCCAUAAUAAUGAUUACAAGAAU
RNAcentral lists this ribosomal RNA (348 nucleotides) under Scymnus sodalis. RNAcentral describes it as "partial 16S ribosomal RNA". The record is from RNAcentral. Lineage: Eukaryota; Metazoa; Arthropoda; Insecta; Coleoptera; Coccinellidae.